Molecule: long non-coding RNA, 1203 nt
Organism: Plodia interpunctella (Indianmeal moth)
Lineage: Eukaryota; Metazoa; Arthropoda; Insecta; Lepidoptera; Pyralidae
Exons: 2
Source: RefSeq, a predicted model, not a curated record
UUGUACAUAUAUGUUCCUAUUAGUCAAGAAGCGUGCCAGUGGUCUGACAACCAAGGAUGCCGAUGACCGUGCGAAGUGGAGAAAAAGUAGGAAAGUGGACCCGACACUUAACGACCGUGGAAGAAACCGGAAAGACGAAGGGAUCAGGAAAUUAUGAGAUAGAGUAGAUUGAGAUAUAUAUAAUAUGAGUUUUAAGGAUCAUGCAGAAAAAUUUAUCUGAAAUAAAAAAUCGUGUUAAUUUGCGCAACCAAGGCUGGCGGCAAUGUUUGGAAUUUAUUUAGUUAGUAACGGAUUUUGAUGUACUACCUUUUAUGUCCAUUGAUUUAUGAUAUCAAUCAAAACACUCUUGACUUCCUUCAGUAUCACCUGCCAAUCAGUCCUCUGGCAGAUUAACGUUAACAGUACCUAACUUUUUAUAUGUUUGGUCUUAAACGUGCUUCAGGUGUCAGCGACCUCUAUACUCUGCAAUUUAUUAAAUUAUAGAUCAUAUCAACCUAUAUAAGCCGUUGUUCUUAAGAGUAUAUACUCAUUUGUCGGGUAAUAAGACUCCAGACAUUAUUUCUAAAUAGUUGACUUGUUUUAUAAAAAUGGUUUGUCCUAUGGAAGUACUUUUUAUAUUUAGUUUAAUUUCAAUCGUUCGAGGAACACCAAUUUUUCUAACAGGAUCAUCCCCCUCUGGAGACGCAGUUAUUGCCAUUUCGUCAGACAAUCCAGAUGUCGAGAAGUAUUUACGAUUCGGAUUCUCAAAGCUUGACAACACAGAUGACGCAAUUGUCACCGAGGCAAAAACUGUUGAUGAUAACAUCAAAAGUGUAGCAGUAUCCAGUAGAUUAUCGCCAGAAGCUAAUGAUUUGAAUACGGGAAGAAGUUUUGCCUCUUCUUCGUUCAAUCCGUUCUUGCUGCCAUUUUUCUUCUCACCAUUAAAUUUAGAAGGCAUUGGACUAGCAAAUUCAGGCUCUUGGAACUGGCAGAAAGGCGUCGAAGGUUAUUACGACCCUGCCUUGUCGGGAAAUGGACAAAUUACGACAGUCGCCGCCGUCAAUGACAAUGGGCGUAUUUUUGGAAAUGUGAAAACUGUCAACAUUGAAAACAAAUCAUAAUACAGUAACCUAAGGAAGGUCACUUUUUAUGAUUUAGGCAUUUUGUAUGUAGGAAUAGGAUAACUUAUGUCAUAAAUUUAAAAUAAACAAAAUUUUAAGUAUC